UACGUAGGGUGCAAGCGUUAAUCGGAAUUACUGGGCGUAAAGCGUGCGCAGGCGGCUUUGCAAGUCAGAUGUGAAAUCCCCGGGCUCAACCUGGGAACUGCAUUUGAGACUGCAAGGCUAGAGUACGGUAGAGGGGGAUGGAAUUCCGCGUGUAGCAGUGAAAUGCGUAGAGAUGCGGAGGAACACCGAUGGCGAAGGCAGCCCCCUGGGCCAACACUGACGCUCAGGCACGAAAGCGUGGGGAGCAAACAGG
RNAcentral lists this ribosomal RNA (253 nucleotides) under uncultured bacterium. RNAcentral's name for it is "partial 16S ribosomal RNA". It matches the Rfam family "Bacterial small subunit ribosomal RNA", at positions 524 to 776 of the family's 1533-position model. The record is from RNAcentral.